GAAUCAGUGUGUGUGUUAGUGGAAGCGUCUGGAAAGGCGCGCGAUACAGGGUGACAGCCCCGUACACAAAAAUGCACAUAUUGUGAGCUCGAUGAGUAGGGCGGGACACGUGGUAUCCUGUCUGAAUAUGGGGGGACCAUCCUCCAAGGCUAAAUACUCCUGACUGACCGAUAGUGAACCAGUACCGUGAGGGAAAGGCGAAAAGAACCCCGGCGAGGGGAGUGAAAAAGAACCUGAAACCGUGUACGUACAAGCAGUGGGAGCCUCUUAAUGGGGUGACUGCGUACCUUUUGUAUAAUGGGUCAGCGACUUAUAUUCUGUAGCAAGGUUAACCGAAUAGGGGAGCCGAAGGGAAACCGAGUCUUAACUGGGCGUUAAGUUGCAGGGUAUAGACCCGAAACCCGGUGAUCUAGCCAUGGGCAGGUUGAAGGUUGGGUAACACUAACUGGAGGACCGAACCGACUAAUGUUGAAAAAUUAGCGGAUGACUUGUGGCUGGGGGUGAAAGGCCAAUCAAACCGGGAGAUAGCUGGUUCUCCCCGAAAGCUAUUUAGGUAGCGCCUCGUGAAUUCAUCUCCGGGGGUAGAGCACUGUUUCGGCAAGGGGGUCAUCCCGACUUACCAACCCGAUGCAAACUGCGAAUACCGGAGAAUGUUAUCACGGGAGACACACGGCGGGUGCUAACGUCCGUCGUGAAGAGGGAAACAACCCAGACCGCCAGCUAAGGUCCCAAAGUCAUGGUUAAGUGGGAAACGAUGUGGGAAGGCCCAGACAGCCAGGAUGUUGGCUUAGAAGCAGCCAUCAUUUAAAGAAAGCGUAAUAGCUCACUGGUCGAGUCGGCCUGCGCGGAAGAUGUAACGGGGCUAAACCAUGCACCGAAGCUGCGGCAGCGACACUAUGUGUUGUUGGGUAGGGGAGCG
RNAcentral lists this ribosomal RNA (919 nucleotides) under Escherichia coli. Its description in RNAcentral is "partial 23S ribosomal RNA". It matches the Rfam family "Bacterial large subunit ribosomal RNA", at positions 314 to 1238 of the family's 2925-position model. RNAcentral also lists the same sequence under 1 other name. Lineage: Bacteria; Pseudomonadati; Pseudomonadota; Gammaproteobacteria; Enterobacterales; Enterobacteriaceae. The record is from RNAcentral.